GGCUAGGAUAUGGGUCUUUGGGGAGCCUGGUCUUUAGCUUGGACCAAUGCAAAUACACUUGGAGAUGAGCCUUCAAGAUAAAUGAAAGAAAAAGUCAAAAAAGCACAAAGAGCGGGAGGACUGAGAUCUUGUCAUGAAGCGGAGCAAAGGAGUGGAGCAUGAUGGACUGCAGAGAUAGGCUGUAAAACUAAGCUUGACUGCGUAUCCGGGUGUUUUCUUGAGCGACGCAUUGUUCAUUGAAAGUGAAAUGCUGAUUCUAAUUGAGAGAACCACACAGGAGCACGUUCAAAUAGCUCAUUUGGAGCCUGUGUCAUCGCUUACGGCCAUACCACCCUGAACACGCCCGAUCUCGUCCGAUCUCGGAAGCUAAGCAGGGUCGGGCCUGGUUAGUACUUGGAUGGGAGACCGCCUGGGAAUACCAGGUGCUGUAAGCUUUUCUUUUCUUGUAUCUUGUGCCGUGUUCUCUCUCCAAGAGGCUAGGAUAUGGGUCUUUGGGGAGCCUGGUCUUUUGCUUGGACCAAUGCAAAUACACUUGGAGAUGAGCCUUCAAGAUAAAAUGAAAGAAAGAGUCAAAAAGCACAAAGAGCGGGAGGACUGAGAUCUUGUCAUGAAGCGGAGCAAAGGAGUGGAGCAUGAUGGACUGCAGAGAUAGGCUGUAAAACUAAGCUUGACUGCGUAUCCGGGUGUUUUCUUGAGCGACGCAUUGUUCAUUGAAAGUGAAAUGCUGAUUCUAAUUGAGAGAACCACACAGGAGCACGUUCAAAUAGCUCAUUUGGAGCCUGUGUCAUCGCUUACGGCCAUACCACCCUGAACACGCCCGAUCUCGUCCGAUCUCGGAAGCUAAGCAGGGUCGGGCCUGGUUAGUACUUGGAUGGGAGACCGCCUGGGAAUACCAGGUGCUGUAAGCUUUUCUUUUCUUGUAUCUUGUGCCGUGUUCUCUCUCCAAGAGGCUAGGAUAUGGGUCUUUGGGGAGCCUGGUCUUUAGCUUGGACCAAUGCAAAUACACUUGGAGAUGAGCCUUCAAGAUAAAUGAAAGAAAAGUCAAAAAGCACAAAGAGCGGGAGGACUGAGAUCUUGUCAUGAAGCGGAGCAAAGGAGUGGAGCAUGAUGGACUGCAGAGAUAGGCUGUAAAACUAAGCUUGACUGCGUAUCCGGGUGUUUUCUUGAGCGACGCAUUGUUCAUUGAAAGUGAAAUGCUGAUUCUAAUUGAGAGAACCACACAGGAGCACGUUCAAAUAGCUCAUUUGGAGCCUGUGUCAUCGCUUACGGCCAUACCACCCUGAACACGCCCGAUCUCGUCCGAUCUCGGAAGCUAAGCAGGGUCGGGCCUGGUUAGUACUUGGAUGGGAGACCGCCUGGGAAUACCAGGUGCUGUAAGCUUUUUCUUUUCUUGUAUCUUGUGCCGUGUUCUCUCUCCAAGAGGCUAGGAUAUGGGUCUUUGGGGAGCCUGGUCUUUAGCUUGGACCAAUGCAAAUACACUUGGAGAUGAGCCUUCAAGAUAAAUGAAAGAAAAAGUCAAAAAGCACAAAGAGCGGGAGGACUGAGAUCUUGUCAUGAAGUGGAGCAAAGGAGUGGAGCAUGAUGGACUGCAGAGAUAGGCUGUAAAACUAAGCUUGACUGCGUAUCCGGGUGUUUUCUUGAGCGACGCAUUGUUCAUUGAAAGUGAAAUGCUGAUUCUAAUUGAGAGAACCACACAGGAGCACGUUCAAAUAGCUCAUUUGGAGCCUGUGUCAUCGCUUACGGCCAUACCACCCUGAACACGCCCGAUCUCGUCCGAUCUCGGAAGCUAAGCAGGGUCGGGCCUGGUUAGUACUUGGAUGGGAGACCGCCUGGGAAUACCAGGUGCUGUAAGCUUUUCUUUUCUUGUAUCUUGUGCCGUGUUCUCUCUCCAAGAGGCUAGGAUAUGGGUCUUUGGGGAGCCUGGUCUUUAGCUUGGACCAAUGCAAAUGCACUUGGAGAUGAGCCUUCAAGAUAAAUGAAAGAAAAGUCAAAAAGCACAAAGAGCGGGAGGACUGAGAUCUUGUCAUGAAGUGGAGCAAAGGAGUGGAGCAUGAUGGACUGCAGAGAUAGGCUGUAAAACUAAGCUUGACUGCGUAUCCGGGUGUUUUCUUGAGCGACGCAUUGUUCAUUGAAAGUGAAAUGCUGAUUCUAAUUGAGAGAACCACACAGGAGCAUGUUCAAAUAGCUCAUUUGGAGCCUGUGUCAUCGCUUACGGCCAUACCACCCUGAACACGCCCGAUCUCGUCCGAUCUCGGAAGCUAAGCAGGGUCGGGCCUGGUUAGUACUUGGAUGGGAGACCGCCUGGGAAUACCAGGUGCUGUAAGCUUUUCUCUUCUUUUCUUGCAUCUUGUGCCGUGUUCUCUCUCCAAGAGGCUAGGAUAUGGGUCUUUGGGGAGCCUGGUCUUUAGCUUGGACCAAUGCAAAUACACUUGGAGAUGAGCCUUCAAGAUAAAUGAAAGAAAAAGUCAAAAAGCACAAAGAGCGGGAGGACUGAGAUCUUGUCAUGAAGCGGAGCAAAGGAGUGGAGCAUGAUGGACUGCAGAGAUAGGCUGUAAAACUAAGCUUGACUGCGUAUCCGGGUGUUUUCUUGAGCGACGCAUUGUUCACUUGAAAGUGAAAUGCUGAUUCUAAUUGAGAGAACCACACAGGAGCAUGUUCAAAUAGCUCAUUUGGAGCCUGUGUCAUCGCUUACGGCCAUACCACCCUGAACACGCCCGAUCUCGUCCGAUCUCGGAAGCUAAGCAGGGUCGGGCCUGGUUAGUACUUGGAUGGGAGACCGCCUGGGAAUACCAGGUGCUGUAAGCUUUUCUCUUUUUUCUUGCAUCUUGUGCCGUGUUCUCUCUCCAAGAGGCUAGGAUAUGGGUCUUUGGGGAGCCUGGUCUUUUGCUUGGACAAAUGCAAGUACACUUGGAGAUGAGCCUGAACAAGAAAAUGAAAGAAAAGUCAAAAAGCACAAAGAGCGGGAGGACUGAGAUCUUGUCAUGAAGUGGAGCAAAGGAGUGGAGCAUGAUGGACUGCAGAGAUAGGCUGUAAAACUAAGCUUGACUGCGUAUCCGGGUGUUUUCUUGAGCGACGCAUUGUUCACUGAAAGUGAAAUGCUGAUUCUAAUUGAGAGAAGCACACAGGAGCAUGUUCAAAUAGCUCAUUUGGAGCCUGUGUCAUCGCUUACGGCCAUACCACCCUGAACACGCCCGAUCUCGUCCGAUCUCGGAAGCUAAGCAGGGUCGGGCCUGGUUAGUACUUGGAUGGGAGACCGCCUGGGAAUACCAGGUGCUGUAAGCUUUUCUUUUCUUGCAUCUUUUGCCGUGUUCUCUCUCCAAGAGGCUAGGAUAUCGGUCUUUGGGGAGCCUGGUCUUUUGCUUGGACCAAUGCAAGUGCACUUGGAGAUGAGCCUUCACAUAAAAUGAAAGAAAAAGUCAAAAAGCACAAAGAGCGGGAGGACUGAGAUGAUCUUGUCCUGAAGUGGAGCAAAGGAGUGGAGCAUGAUGGACUGCAGAGAUAGGCUGUAAAACUAAGCUUGACUGCGUAUCCGGGUGUUUUCUUGAGCGACGCAUUGUUCACUGAAAGUGAAAUGCUGAUUCUAAUUGAGAGAAGCACACAGGAGCAUGUUCAAAUAGCUCAUUUGGAGCCUGUGUCAUCGCUUACGGCCAUACCACCCUGAACACGCCCGAUCUCGUCCGAUCUCGGAAGCUAAGCAGGGUCGGGCCUGGUUAGUACUUGGAUGGGAGACCGCCUGGGAAUACCAGGUGCUGUAAGCUUUUCUUUUCUUGUAUCUUGUGCCGUGUUCUCUCUCCAAGAGGCUAGGAUAUGGGUCUUUGGGGAGCCUGGUCUUUUGCUUGGACCAAUGCAAAUGCACUUGGAGAUUAGGCUGAAGAUAAAAUGAAAGAAAAAGUCAAAAAGCACAAAGAGCGGGAGGACUGAGAUCUUGUCAUGAAGUGGAGCAAAGGAGUGGAGCAUGAUGGACUGCAGAGAUAGGCUGUAAAACUAAGCUUGACUGCGUAUCCGGGUGUUUUCUUGAGCGCCGCAUUGUUCAUUGAAAGUGAAAUGCUGAUUCUAAUUGAGAGAAGCACACAGGAGCAUGUUCAAAUAGCUCAUUUGGAGCCUGUGUCAUCGCUUACGGCCAUACCACCCUGAACACGCCCGAUCUCGUCCGAUCUCGGAAGCUAAGCAGGGUCGGGCCUGGUUAGUACUUGGAUGGGAGACCGCCUGGGAAUACCAGGUGCUGUAAGCUUUUCUUUUCUUGUAUCUUGUGCCGUGUUCUCUCUCCAAGAGGCUAGGAUAUGGGUCUUUGGGGAGCCUGGUCUUUAGCUUGGACAAAUGCAAGUGCACUUGGAGAUGAGCCUGAAGAUAAAAUGAAAGAAAAAGUCAAAAAGCACAAAGAGCGGGAGGACUGAGAUCUUGUCCUAAAGUGGAGCAAAGGAGUGGAGCAUGAUGGACUGCAGAGAUAGGCUGUAAAACUAAGCUUGACUGCGUAUCCGGGUGUUUUCUUGAGCGACGCAUUGUUCACUGAAAGUGAAAUGCUGAUUCUAAUUGAGAGAAGCACACAGGAGCAUGUUCAAAUAGCUCAUUUGGAGCCUGUGUCAUCGCUUACGGCCAUACCACCCUGAACACGCCCGAUCUCGUCCGAUCUCGGAAGCUAAGCAGGGUCGGGCCUGGUUAGUACUUGGAUGGGAGACCGCCUGGGAAUACCAGGUGCUGUAAGCUUUUCUCUUUUUUCUUGCAUCUUUUUGCCGUGUUCUCUCUCCAAGAGGCUAGGAUAUGGGUCUUUGGGGAGCCUGGUCUUUUGCUUGGACCAAUGCAAAUACACUUGGAGAUGAGCCUUCAAGAUAAAAUGAAAGAAAAAGUCAAAAAGCACAAAGAGCGGGAGGACUGAGAUCUUGUCCUAAAGCGGAGCAAAGGAGUGGAGCAUGAUGGACUGCAGAGAUAGGCUGUAAAACUAAGCUUGACUGCGUAUCCGGGUGUUUUCUUGAGCGACGCAUUGUUCACUGAAAGUGAAAUGCUGAUUCUAAUUGAGAGAACCACACAGGAGCAUGUUCAAAUAGCUCAUUUGGAGCCUGUGUCAUCGCUUACGGCCAUACCACCCUGAACACGCCCGAUCUCGUCCGAUCUCGGAAGCUAAGCAGGGUCGGGCCUGGUUAGUACUUGGAUGGGAGACCGCCUGGGAAUACCAGGUGCUGUAAGCUUUUCUUUUCUUGUAUCUUGUGCCGUGUUCUCUCUCCAAGAGGCUAGGAUAUGGGUCUUUGGGGAGCCUGGUCUUUUGCUUGGACAAAUGCAAGUACACUUGGAGAUUAGGCUGAAGAUAAAUGAAAGAAAAAGUCAAAAAGCACAAAGAGCGGGAGGACUGAGAUCUUGUCCUAAAGUGGAGCAAAGGAGUGGAGCAUGAUGGACUGCAGAGAUAGGCUGUAAAACUAAGCUUGACUGCGUAUCCGGGUGUUUUCUUGAGCGCCGCAUUGUUCACUGAAAGUGAAAUGCUGAUUCUAAUUGAGAGAACCACACAGGAGCAUGUUCAAAUAGCUCAUUUGGAGCCUGUGUCAUCGCUUACGGCCAUACCACCCUGAACACGCCCGAUCUCGUCCGAUCUCGGAAGCUAAGCAGGGUCGGGCCUGGUUAGUACUUGGAUGGGAGACCGCCUGGGAAUACCAGGUGCUGUAAGCUUUUCUUUCUUGUAUCUUUUGCCGUGUUCUCUCUCCAAGAGGCUAGGAUAUCGGUCUUUGGGGAGCCUGGUCUUUUGCUUGGACAAAUGCAAAUGCACUUGGAGAUGAGGCUGAACAUAAAAUGAAAGAAAAAGUCAAAAAGCACAAAGAGCGGGAGGACUGAGAUCUUGUCCUAAAGUGGAGCAAAGGAGUGGAGCAUGAUGGACUGCAGAGAUAGGCUGUAAAACUAAGCUUGACUGCGUAUCCGGGUGUUUUCUUGAGCGCCGCAUUGUUCACUGAAAGUGAAAUGCUGAUUCUAAUUGAGAGAAGCACACAGGAGCAUGUUCAAAUAGCUCAUUUGGAGCCUGUGUCAUCGCUUACGGCCAUACCACCCUGAACACGCCCGAUCUCGUCCGAUCUCGGAAGCUAAGCAGGGUCGGGCCUGGUUAGUACUUGGAUGGGAGACCGCCUGGGAAUACCAGGUGCUGUAAGCUUUUCUUUUCUUGUAUCUUGUGCCGUGUUCUCUCUCCAAGAGGCUAGGAUAUGGGUCUUUGGGGAGCCUGGUCUUUAGCUUGGACAAAUGCAAGUGCACUUGGAGAUUAGGCUGAACAUAAAAUGAAAGAAAGAGUCAAAAAGCACAAAGAGCGGGAGGACUGAGAUCUUGUCCUAAAGUGGAGCAAAGGAGUGGAGCAUGAUGGACUGCAGAGAUAGGCUGUAAAACUAAGCUUGACUGCGUAUCCGGGUGUUUUCUUGAGCGACGCAUUGUUCAUUGAAAGUGAAAUACUGAUUCUAAUUGAGAGAACCACACAGGAGCAUGUUCAAAUAGCUCAUUUGGAGCCUGUGUCAUCGCUUACGGCCAUACCACCCUGAACACGCCCGAUCUCGUCCGAUCUCGGAAGCUAAGCAGGGUCGGGCCUGGUUAGUACUUGGAUGGGAGACCGCCUGGGAAUACCAGGUGCUGUAAGCUUUUCUUUUUUUCUUGCAUCUUGUGCCGUGUUCUCUCUCCAAGAGGCUAGGAUAUGGGUCUUUGGGGAGCCUGGUCUUUUGCUUGGACCAAUGCAAGUACACUUGGAGAUUAGAGCCUUCAAGAUAAAUGAAAGAAAAAGUCAAAAAAGCACAAAGAGCGGGAGGACUGAGAUCUUGUCAUGAAGCGGAGCAAAGGAGUGGAGCAUGAUGGACUGCAGAGAUAGGCUGUAAAACUAAGCUUGACUGCGUAUCCGGGUGUUUUCUUGAGCGACGCAUUGUUCAUUGAAAGUGAAAUGCUGAUUCUAAUUGAGAGAACCACACAGGAGCACGUUCAAAUAGCUCAUUUGGAGCCUGUGUCAUCGCUUACGGCCAUACCACCCUGAACACGCCCGAUCUCGUCCGAUCUCGGAAGCUAAGCAGGGUCGGGCCUGGUUAGUACUUGGAUGGGAGACCGCCUGGGAAUACCAGGUGCUGUAAGCUUUUCUCUUUUUUCUUGCAUCUUGUGCCGUGUUCUCUCUCCAAGAGGCUAGGAUAUCGGUCUUUGGGGAGCCUGGUCUUUUGCUUGGACAAAUGCAAGUGCACUUGGAGAUUAGGCUGAACAUAAAAUGAAAGAAAAAGUCAAAAAAGCACAAAGAGCGGGAGGACUGAGAUCUUGUCAUGAAGCGGAGCAAAGGAGUGGAGCAUGAUGGACUGCAGAGAUAGGCUGUAAAACUAAGCUUGACUGCGUAUCCGGGUGUUUUCUUGAGCGACGCAUUGUUCAUUGAAAGUGAAAUGCUGAUUCUAAUUGAGAGAACCACACAGGAGCAUGUUCAAAUAGCUCAUUUGGAGCCUGUGUCAUCGCUUACGGCCAUACCACCCUGAACACGCCCGAUCUCGUCCGAUCUCGGAAGCUAAGCAGGGUCGGGCCUGGUUAGUACUUGGAUGGGAGACCGCCUGGGAAUACCAGGUGCUGUAAGCUUUUCUUUUCUUGUAUCUUGUGCCGUGUUCUCUCUCCAAGAGGCUAGGAUAUGGGUCUUUGGGGAGCCUGGUCUUUAGCU
Molecule: non-coding RNA, 7636 nt
Organism: Xyrichtys novacula (pearly razorfish)
Lineage: Eukaryota; Metazoa; Chordata; Actinopteri; Labriformes; Labridae
Source: the annotation of a GenBank genome assembly